RNAcentral lists this unclassified non-coding RNA (205 nucleotides) under Hevea brasiliensis (rubber tree). Lineage: Eukaryota; Viridiplantae; Streptophyta; Magnoliopsida; Malpighiales; Euphorbiaceae. The record is from RNAcentral.
UGUUGUUGACAGCAUUUUUUUAAAAAAAUUGGCUUCACUAAGGUUCUGAUUUCAUGGCGUGUUCUUACUAUUUUGAUGUGGUAUUGGGCUUUGGUGUUCCCAGGAGCAUUUUCUUUUCAAUAACUAACAGUUCCAUAUUGUAAUGUAAACAGUAUUAUAACAGUUGUGAUGCUUAAAAUUCAUGGUUAAAAAAAAUGCUGUCAAC